RNAcentral lists this long non-coding RNA (215 nucleotides) under Elaeis guineensis (African oil palm). Its description in RNAcentral is "long non-coding RNA (EGUI_LNC034536)". The record is from RNAcentral. Lineage: Eukaryota; Viridiplantae; Streptophyta; Magnoliopsida; Arecales; Arecaceae.
UGAGUCCUGACUUAAUAGUAGGUCAUAGAUAAAUCGUCAAAUCUUAACAUCAGUCAUAUGAUAGAUUUGAUUAGCUCAAGUCCCAUAGUGAUUCUCAUGAAAACUCUUUUUCAUUAAUCAUACUGCUAUGGCUACAGACUAAAGGACUUAGCCUCUCAAAUUUUAUAAAACUAUUCUUUUCUAUUAAGAUCGAUAGAUUCCAUCUAGAUGUGCAU